AGAAUUGAUCACAGGCCUAGGGACACAACAAGCUCAACAUGCACCAUAUACAUUUUACUAUAGUGGGCUGGGGUUGCUGGGCUUGGUAAAAAUAUUGUCAAAACCUACAGGUUGGACCAUGUUUUGGCCCCAGAUAUUAAAAUUUCAACAUGACAUGAGCAUGGCCCAGUCAAUGACCACCUCAUUACAAACAUAGACAUCUAAUAGAAUGCAUAAUGCAAAUAUGAACGGGAAAUUAGAGUUCUUAUUAAAGAUUGCCCAAG
Molecule: unclassified non-coding RNA, 263 nt
Filed under: Hevea brasiliensis (rubber tree)
Lineage: Eukaryota; Viridiplantae; Streptophyta; Magnoliopsida; Malpighiales; Euphorbiaceae
Source: RNAcentral